AAGGGUAUAGCUCAGUGGUAGAGCGCAUGCUUGACAUGCAUGAGGUCCUGGGUUCAGUCCCCAGUCCCUCCA
This 72-nucleotide transfer RNA is filed under the name Camelus bactrianus (Bactrian camel). It matches the Rfam family "tRNA". From Rfam's summary of the family: Transfer RNA (tRNA) molecules are approximately 80 nucleotides in length. Their secondary structure includes four short double-helical elements and three loops (D, anti-codon, and T loops). Further hydrogen bonds mediate the characteristic L-shaped molecular structure. tRNAs have two regions of fundamental functional importance: the anti-codon, which is responsible for specific mRNA codon recognition, and the 3' end, to which the tRNAs corresponding amino acid is attached (by aminoacyl-tRNA synthetases). tRNAs cope with the degeneracy of the genetic code in two manners: having more than one tRNA (with a specific anti-codon) for a particular amino acid; and 'wobble' base-pairing, i.e. permitting non-standard base-pairing at the 3rd anti-codon position. The record is from Rfam by way of RNAcentral. Lineage: Eukaryota; Metazoa; Chordata; Mammalia; Artiodactyla; Camelidae. RNAcentral also lists the same sequence under 1 other name.